RNAcentral lists this long non-coding RNA (9112 nucleotides) under Arabidopsis thaliana (thale cress). The record is from RNAcentral. Lineage: Eukaryota; Viridiplantae; Streptophyta; Magnoliopsida; Brassicales; Brassicaceae.
GUUUAAUGUUUUUGAGGAAAGUGAUGAUAUGAAAUUGUCGCCCCAGGCUUAAUCUGCAUCCAUUACGAUGGUUGUAACAUGGUGAUUGACUAUUUUUGUCUGAUUCUCUCAAAUCGUUUAUUAUGAUUCUGUUAUAAUGGUUGUGUAUGGAUAUGAUGAAAUGGCAAUAAUGUUUUGUGACACCCAGUCUGAUCUUCGUGAUUGAUUUGCCAUAUUUUCUGAUCCUAAUUCUUCUUCAGUUUUGUGAAUUUUGAUUCAAAGUUUUGAUCUUUGAAAGGGAGGAAUGAGGAUGUAAUUCCAUACGUCUGCAAAUCUGAAAUACAGUGUUGAUACAAUGACAUGCACUACCAUCUGACCUCUGUUUUCUUGUUUUUGUUUUUGUUUUCAAUACCCUUUUGUUAGUUGUCUGCAAUCAGUGAUGAAAUUAUGUCAAAUUCAAUGAUUAUACAAUGAUUAUUAUAAUCACUAGAUCACCAUCUUUCGGCUGAGAUUGCUGUUUCUUCUUUUUUGGAAUUAUUGUUUGUGUUAUUGUUGACGAUUUGCCUAUGGUAUCUGAUGUCCAAAGUUUGAUAAUUGUGUUUGGACAUUUCGUUUUUCUUAGGCAGAAAGUGAUUUCAGGCUUUGCGACACUGUUAGCUUAUCACAUAAGCUACCUGUUACUUUUAAUACCUGGUUACAUCUAUAUAUCAAUCUUUGGUUUGGUUUGGGUUUUAACAUCAUUGCUCCUUUUGUUUUUCGUAUCAUCUUGUGUUUUUAUGUGGUCUUGUGCAGGAUUUGUUGGCUUGUUCUCUUGGUGUAGGAUUGGCUUCUAAUGCGGAUGAUAUGCUUACUACGAGCAACUUCAAUCGGUCUCAAGAAUCAAAAUUGUCUGUUGUUUAAUGUUGUAUUUGAUGGACGAAUCUAGUCUUCUAAGACUAUGUAAUGUAAUCUCUUAACCCAAUAAAGAAAAUUAUCAACUUAGCAAUAUUCAUUGUCUAACUUAUUUUCAUAAAAUGGCAAAGAUACUGAAGUUGAUUUCCAGAUGAUGAGACACUCUAAAAGAGAGACAAACAUGAUAUCUUGUAUUUCUGUAAUGAUCUGACUAAUCUAAUAAUACAGUAGAAUCAUUACAAACAAAGAAGAAAUGGCUUGAUUUUGAUUCUCUAAAAUACAAGCCGAGUACUACUAUGUUCUUGAAGUUGAAAAGAGCAUGGUAAAGAACAUCUAGUACUAGAGAUUGACGUUAUAAGAGCCUUUUCUGUGUCUCCAUCCAUUCGUCUUUGGACCAAUCUGAUGAGAUACUCCAAGAAAACCGAAUCGAAUGGCAAUGUGAUUGGUCCUUCCGUGGGGAUGCCAAACUCUUCUUCGGAUAUCUUCAAGAGCUCUUGGAUAACAGAGUUGCUCAGAUAACUUAUUGGAAAAGCAAAGCGGAUUCUAUCGGAUGUGUAAACCACAAAACAGCCCUUCUCUGCAGCGGUUGAGCUGCUAGUAGUAUCAGUUGAUCUAUGAAAAGAGAUUCUUUUCCUUCUUAAGGCAGCUCUCUGUUGCCAUUUCUUGGCCAUCUUCAAGAGCUUCUUUGUGUUCAUCAUUAUAUUUAGGGAAAAGCUGUUUAAGAUUGGAAAGAGGAAGAGAUGUGCAAAUUGUGUUGUAUAACGUAACUCUUUGAAUGCAAGUUGUGGUUGAUGAAGAAUCCAAUAGGCUUGUUGCAUGAUAUAUAUAAGGAGAAACUAUUAGAGUUUAGAUUCACUUAAGAGAAACCACACCAGACAUAAGACAUGCGUCUGUCUUUGUCUUUGUUUUAUAUGUGAUGAUCAUAAGGGGUCCCUAAGUUGUAACCAAUCUUGUCUACUCACAACAUGUGGAUUAGAAACCUCUCCUGAAAAUACUUGACCAUGUGGAUUUAGGUAUGAGUCACUUAUACAAUAGUAUUACUAUUAAAUUUAGACACAGACAUGUGCAAGUGAAUGAAAGAUGCAGAACUUGUAGACCCUUUGACGUUUACAGAGAAGUUAGAACCCUAAACUUACAGAAAAUUCAAUGGUUGUUAAUAGCUCUCUAGAUGAGUGAAAAAGUUUCAUCAAGUUAAUAUUUUGUAGAAUAAUUGGAACCUUCUUUGAACAUACAAGCAAGUGUUCUCUUUUCUCUUCUCACUGUGACAGAUUAAGUAAGUUCAAAUUAUAAGAACAUCUCUUGUUCUUGUGCAAUCUUCUGUGCCUUAACAGAGAUUCAUAUGGACAUACGAUGAUUCAUAGUGAAGUACAGUAUAUUUCAUUAAUAUGGCUUGAGUAUUCAGAGAUUUAUAUGAAACUGUCAGAACAAGUGAUUUUUGAAGUUGGGAUAAAGUUUCCAUUUAUAUGGAAGGUCAUUUUUGAAUUUUUAUGAGACAACUUAAAUGAGAGACCAAAUAAGAAUAGUUUGUAUUCUGAAACAAUUAAGCUGUCUAAUCUAUAAACUCUACAAAAUACAGAAAUUUGCGAAACUCUAAAACACAAGCAACUGUUGAGUAGCACUACAAUGUUGUUGUGGUUGAAAAGAGCUUCUAGCACUUGAGAUUGACAAUAACAGAGCCUUUUCUGUAUCUUCAUCCAUUCGUCUUUGGAUCAGAUUGAUGAGAUACUCUAAAAAGGCCGAAUCGAAUGGCAAUGUGAUUGGUCCUUCCGUCGGGAGACCGAACUCUUCUUCAGAUAUUUUCAAGAGCUCUUGGACAAUAGUGUUGCUUAGGUAACUUAAGGGAAAUGAAAAACGGAUCUUAUCAGCCGUGUAAACCACGAAACAACCCUUUUCUACAGCUGUUUGGCUGCUAGUAGUAAUACUUGAUCUCUGAAAUGAAAUUCUUUUUCUCUUGAGGGCUGCUCUUUGUUGCCAUUUCUUGGCCAACUUCAUGAGCUUCUUUGCGUUUAUCAUCAUUUUCAGGGAGAGUUAAAGCUUGAGAUUGGAAAGCAAGGUGGAGAAGGAAAGAGAUAAGAUUGGUGAGUUCUGUUUGUAUAGAUCUCUUUGAAUAAAAGUUCUGGUUGAUGAGGAAUACCAAUAAGCUUUGUUUCAUUAUAUAGAAGGAGAAACUAUUAGGUUAAGACAAGCUCCUGAGCAAUCCAACCAGACACAACACAUGAUUAUGUUUCUAAUCUAUGGUCCCAAGUUGGUAAUCAAUUAUGUCUGCAUUCAACUAGUGGACUAUAGAUAACUUGUGGUUAGAAGACAUGAUCAUGUGGGUAUAAAUUUCCUAUAUGGACAUUUAUAUGACAAGAUUUAGGUACUGAGACAUUAUUGAAGAAUGCAAGAGGCUGUUGAUACUUGGUUAGUAGUCCUGGACAUCUAAAUCAAAUGUGAGUCACAAAAAUAAUAGAUCAAAUAUAUAUUCAGGGGACAUCAAAUCUUUUUUGUGAAGUCAAGGACCAAAAAAAGUGGUUAGAAUUAAUGGUCACUGAUAUAGAUGGAUACAAUUUGCAUCAGACAAGGAAAGACAUGAGCUGGUGAAGCCAAGAUGAAGAGCAUGUAGGUCCUUAGAUUUUCUGGCCAGAAGAAAAAUCAUCGAUUUAACCAUACUUCUGUUUUAUAGGGAAAAUUUAUGAAAUGCGGUGAAUGAAAUUUUUUGGUUUCAGAGAAAAACAGUUGGAAGAAACCGUCACAUUAACUGAUGUUGAAGUUAUCUCUAUAGUCCACUAGUUAAUAUUUUGUUGAUCAAAUAAUUUUGGUGCGUACGUAACGUAAGGGUUCAGUGUCAUUAAAUUUUGUAACGACUUACAACUUACAUGUUACAAAGAUGCUAGAAGUAUCGUUGAUACAUGCAUUAGCUGUCUGCUGCUUAUACAUGUCACAAAGUACUUUCCUCUGUUCAUCAAUCAGGUUUUGGACUUUUCCCAUUUCUUUGGAUUUCAAGUCAAGCUGUUCACUAGAGAUGUUGAUCAGAUUGUUCAAUUUUUUCUUAAGCAUGACUUUUGUUAAGACUCCAGUUAUUCAUCCACAGCCGGAAGCUGCUUACCAGAUUCUUCAAUUUUGGAAAGAAUCAGUAACAAAUUUUUCUUCUUUCUAUUUCUUACAUGCUGAAACCAUACAUGUAGUAAAUAGUAAAUGUAUAAAGUUCAAGAUAUAUAUAAGAGUUUUCAAUUACUCUCAAUAAUGGAAUAUAUGAAGUUAGUGAAUUUUGAAUUUUUGUGAAACAACUUAAAUGAGAGACAAAAUAAGAAUAGUUUGUAUUUCUGAAAUGAUCUGUCUAUCUAAUCCACUAUAAACUUUACAGAAAUUUGCUAAACUCUAAAAUACAAGCAACUGUUGCGUAGUACUACAUUGUUGUUCUUGUGGUUGAAAAGAGCAUCUAGCACUUGAGAUUGACAAUAACAAAGCCUUUUCUGUAUCUUCAUCCAUUCGUCUUUGGAUCAGUUUGACGAGAUACUCUAAAAAGGCCGAAUCGAAUGGUAAUGUGAUUGGUCCUUCCGUUGGGAGACCGAAAUCUUCUUCAGAUAUUUUCAAUAGCUCCUGGACAACAGAGUUGCUCAGAUAACUUAUUGGAAAAGCAAAGCGGAUUUUAUCCGCCGUGUAAACCACGAAACAACCCUUUUCUACAGUAGAAGAGCUGCUAGUAAAGACACUUGAUCUCUGAAAUGAGAUUCUUUUCCUGUGGAGGGCUGCUCUUUGUUGCCAUUUCUUAGCCAUCUUCAUAAGCUUCUUUGCGUUUAUCAUCAUUUUCAGGGAGAGUUAAAGCUUGAGAUUGGAAAGCAAAGUGUGGAGAAAGAAAGAGAAAAGAUAUGUGAGUUCUGUUUGAAAAGCUCUUUGAAUGAAAGUUAUGGUUGAUGAAGAGUACCAAUAAGCUUGUUUCAUUAUAUAGAAGGAGAAACUAUUAGGUUUAGACAAGCUCCUGAGCAAUCUAACCCGACACAACACAUGCUUAUGUUUCUACUCUGUAAGGGUCCCAAGUUGGUAAUCAAUUAUGUCAGCUAAUCAACUUGUGGACUAUACAACUUAUGGUGAGAAGACAUGAUCAUGUGGGUAUGAACCCUAUAUGGACGUUUAUAUGACAAGAGUUAGGUACUUAGAUUGAUGAAGAAGAAUGCAAGAGGCUGUUGUUACAUUAUAUUAUGUAUAUGCAAUAGAAGCCAAAAAAAUGUCAAACUCAAGGUCUCAGGUUGGUUAGUGGUCCAUCAGCUGAAUCAAAUGUGAGUCACAAAUAUAAUGGAUCAAGUACUUAUUCAGGGGACAACAAAUCUGGUUGAAAUUAAUGAUCCGAUAGAGAGAUACAAAGAAAGGCAUGUGCUGGUGGAGCAAAGAUGAAGAGCAUGUAGGUCCUUAGAUUUUCUGGCAAAGAAAAAGACAGUGAGUCAACUAUUCCUGCUAAACUUUCACAUUUCCUUGAGAUAGAUUAAGCUUGGAUCAUAAAAACAUCUCUUGUUUUUAUUACUUUUAAGAGAUUCAUAAGGAAAAAAUGACGAAUGAAAGUUAAGGCACCAUUUUUUAUGACUGAGAGUUGCAGAGCAUAACAGUUAUAGAACCUUCACAACAUGUCAAGAAGUUGAAGUUAUCUCAUUUUUCUCUGUGUACAAUGAAAGUUGACUUUGAUGAGGCAGUCUAAAAGAUAGACAUAAAGAAUAGUUUGUAUUUCUGAAAUAUUCUGUCUAAUCUAAUAAAGUAGAAUCUUUACAAACACAAAAACUGCUACACACGAAUUCUCUAAAAUACAAGCAAUUGUUGAGUACUACGUUCUUGUAGUUUCAAAGAGCAUUGGGAAGAACAUCUAGCACUAGAGAUUGACAUUAACAAAGCCUUUUCUGUGUCUGCAUCCAUUCGUCUUUGGACCAAUUUGAUGAGAUACUCCAAGAAAACUGAAUCGAAUGGCGAUGUGAUAGGUCCACCAGUUGGGAGGCCAAACUCUUCUUCAGAGAUCUUCAAGAGUUCUUGGAAAACAGAGUUACUCAGGUAACUUAGCGGAAAAGCAAAGCGUGUGCUGUCUGUCGUGUAAACCACAAAACAACCCUUCUCUGCAGCGGUUGAGCUAGUAGCACUACUUGAUCUUUGAAAUGAGAUCCUUUUCCUGUGGAGGGCUGCUCUUUGUUGCCACUUCUUGGCCAUCUUGAUUAGCUUUUUUGUGUUCAUCAUUCUUUUCAGGAAAAUAUUUUGUAGAUCCGAAAGCAGAAGGAGAUUUUAACUUGUGUUGUAGAACUCUUUGAAUGCAAGUUAUGAUUGGUGAAGAUUCCCACAGGCUUGUUUCAUUAUAUAUAAGGAGAAACUAUUAUUGUUUUAGAGCAACCAAGCCAGACAGAAACACAUGCCAGGUUUCUUGUUAGUGAUCAUAAGGGUCCCAAGUUAGCAAUCAAUCUUAUUUCAAAUCAACUUGUGGAUUAAAACAUACAUGGUGAGAACUGAGAAGACAUGACCAUGUGAGUAUGAAUCUUGUAAUAAGAACGUUCAUAUGUCACGAUUUAGCUGAUACAAAGGCAUUCAAUAUUCAAUUAAAACCCUUUGAUGUUCCCAGGGAAGUAAAAUCUCUUAACCUGCAGAAACUUCAACGGUUCCUAAGGGUCUCAACUUAUUAAUAAACUAUGUCUGCAAAUCAACUUGUGGACUAUACAACUUCUUCAUGUGGGUAUGAAUACUUUAUGAACCUUUAUAUGACAAGAUUUAGGUACUAUUAUAUUGAUGGAGAAUGCAAGAGGCUGCUGUUACAGUAUAUACAUAAUGAGAACUUAUACAUUACAAGAGAAGCCAAAAAUUACCAAACUCUUGCAUCUGUACAGAUUUGUUUGUUAGCAUAAGGGGUCCAUCGGCUAAAUCAAAUGUUUGUCACAAAGAUAAUAGAUGAAGUACUUAUUACUCAGGGGACAACAAAUCUUUUGGUGAAAUCAAGGACAACAAAUGUGGUUAGAAGUAAUGAUCAAUUAGAUACAAAAGAAAGGCAUGUGCUGAUGAAGCAAGGAUGAAGAGCAUGUAGGUCCAUAAAAUACAGCUACAAUUUCUGGUAAAAUUUCAUAUGUUCUUGUGUAGUCUAUGAGAAACUUGAUGUAAGGUAAUUCGUAGUGAAAGGCGUUUUACUCCCGCUGCAUCAUUUUUCUUGAAAGAUAGUAUCAGAGUAUAUAUGUCUUCAAAGAAGGAGAUAUGUUUUAGUGAAAUGGGUCAAAGAUUGUUCUUAAGACCUUAGGCUGAAACUGCGAGAACAUGUGACAUUGAAGUUAAAUUUAGAUGAGACAAUCUAAACGAGUGAGAGAGAGACAAAUAUAUAGUAGUUUGUAUUUUUGAAAUGAUCUGUCUAUCUAAUACAGUAUAAUUUUUUACAGAGGAAAAAAUGUCUACACUCUAAUUCUCUAAAAUACAAGUAAUUGUUGGGUAUAACCACUCUGUUGUUCUUGUGGUUGCAUAGAGCAUCUAGCACUAGAGAUUGACAUUAAAAGAGCUUUUUCUGUAUCUCCAUCCAUUCUUCGUUCGAUAAAUUUGAUGAGAUACUCCAAGAAAACCGAGUCGAACGGCAACGUGAUUGGUCCACCCGCCCUGAGGCCGAACUCUUCUUCAGAUAUCUUCAAGAGCUCUUCGAAAACAGAGUUGUUCAAGUAACUUAACGGAAAAGCAAAGCGGAUUUUAUCAACCGUGUAAACCACGAAACAGCCCUUCUCCACAGCAGUUGAGCUGCUAGUAGUAGUAGUAGUAGUAGUAGUAGUAGUAGUUGAUCUUUGGAAUGAGAUUCUUUUCCUCUUGAGGGCAGCUCUUUGUUGCCAUUUCUUGGCCAUCUUGAGUAGUUUCUUAGUGUUGAUCAUCUUUACUAAUAGAAAGAGAGCAAACAAAAAAGGGAUUGUAAGUUGUGUUGUAGUAUAAAUCUCUGAAGUAAUGAAAGUGGUGAAUGAUGAAGAAUGCUCUAAGCUUUGUUGCAUUUUAUAUAUAAAGAGAAAGUAUUAGAGUUUUAGAUAUAAUUAAGAGCAACCAAAGAAGACAGAAACACAUGCUCUUGUAGUUCUUGUCUAAAGAGGUCCCAAACUAGUAAUCAAUCAUAUCUGCUAAAUCAAUUUGUGGAUUAGAAACCAUUAACAUGGUGAGAAGAAACAUGACCAUGUGGGGGUAUUAAAUCAAUGUUACAAAGACAUUUGAAGGUGAAAGAAAAGAUGCGGGUCCUCUCAUGUUCUCAGAGAUGUAAAAAAACCUUAAACCUAGAGAAAUUUUUGGAAUACCGGUUUAAUUAAAUGUAAACCGAACUGAACCGAAAACCCUUAUUAGCUACCUGUGAACUGCCUCUUAUAUAAAGCCGUCGCUGACAAUCUCAUAGGAGACUCGAGAGAGUCCUAAACUUUCAAAACUAGUGAUUAUCUUCGAGUCAUGUCAUGUUAGCGUUUAGGGGUUUUGUGUGUCUAUCCACAUGUUUUCUGCUUCUAUAUAAACCCUAACGCUCUCGAUACUCUAGUUGUUGUGUAAGUAGGUGUUGUUUUGUGUCUAUGUUUCUUCGUUAGCUCAGAUUGAGGAAAGUGAUGAUAAGGAAUUGUCGCCCCAGGCUUAAUCUGCAUCCAUUACGAUGGUUGUAACAUGGUGAUUGACUAUCUCUGUCUGAUUCUUCGAAUCUUUUCUUAGAUUGUUUUAUAAUGUUUGUGAAUGGAUAUGACGAAAUGGCAAUAAUGUUUUGUGACACCCAGUCUGAUCUUCGUGAUUGAUCUGCCAUAUUUUCUGAUCCUAAUUCUUCUUCAGUUUUGUGGAUUUUGAUUCAAAGUUUUGAUUUUUGAAAGGGAGGGAUGAGGAUAUAAUUCCAUACGUCUGCAAAUCUGAAACACAGUGUUGAUACAAUUGACAUGCACUACCAUCUGACCUCUGUUUUAUUGUUGUUUUCAAUACCCUUUUGUUAGUUGUCUGCAAUCAGUGAUGAAAUUAUGUCAAAUUCAAUGAUUAUACAAUGAUUAUUAUAAUCACUAGAUCACCAUCUUUCGGCUGAGAUUGCAGUUUUUCUUUUUUGGAAUUAUUGUUUGUGUUAUUGUUGACGAUUUGCCUAUGGUAUCUGAUGUCCAAAGUUUGAUAAUUGUGUUUGGACAUUUCGUUUUUCUUAGGCAGAAAGUGAUUUCAGGCUUUGCGACACUGUUAGCUUAUCACAUAAGCUACCUGUUACUUUUAAUACCUGGUUACAUCCUAUUUUUCAAUAUCAAUGUUGUUUUCGUUUUGUUUAUAUUCCAUCUUG